Molecule: microRNA precursor, 78 nt
Filed under: Trichobilharzia regenti
Lineage: Eukaryota; Metazoa; Platyhelminthes; Trematoda; Strigeidida; Schistosomatidae
Description: mir-3492 microRNA precursor family
Rfam family: mir-3492 microRNA precursor family
Source: Rfam by way of RNAcentral
AGCCUUCUGUAUCCUUACUGAGAUUUCGUCAGUGAUCAACUGGCUAGGGCUGAUGCAACUCCCCAAAUAAGUAAAGUG